This 301-nucleotide ribosomal RNA is filed under the name uncultured bacterium. RNAcentral describes it as "partial 16S ribosomal RNA". It matches the Rfam family "Bacterial small subunit ribosomal RNA", at positions 509 to 807 of the family's 1533-position model. The record is from RNAcentral.
CAGUAGCCGCGGUAAUACGAAGGGGGCUAGCGUUGUUCGGAAUUACUGGGCGUAAAGCGCACGUAGGCGGAUUGUUAAGUUAGGGGUGAAAUCCCAGGGCUCAACCCUGGAACUGCCUUUAAUACUGGCAAUCUCGAGUCCGAGAGAGGUGAGUGGAAUUCCGAGUGUAGAGGUGAAAUUCGUAGAUAUUCGGAGGAACACCAGUGGCGAAGGCGGCUCACUGGCUCGGUACUGACGCUGAGGUGCGAAAGCGUGGGGAGCAAACAGGAUUAGAUACCCCCGUAGUCCCUGUCUCUUAUAC